Molecule: long non-coding RNA, 736 nt
Filed under: Salvia miltiorrhiza (redroot sage)
Lineage: Eukaryota; Viridiplantae; Streptophyta; Magnoliopsida; Lamiales; Lamiaceae
Description: long non-coding RNA (SMIL_LNC005012)
Source: RNAcentral
AAUAAGCUGGUGACAGUUUGAGCCUUUGAGGGUAUAACUCAUGUAGCAUUCAUAUAUCUUAUGUUGUGUGAAUUUCUCGUGGUAUCUUUAAUAUUGCUACCGUUGCCUCUAUCAGACUGUAAAAUUUUGGGAUUCUGGACUAGUUUGUGUUUGUUUUAGAAUCCAUGGAGCCUCCUAAUCUCAUUUCUAUCACAUUGCAAGAUCUGCAUGGGAACCUUGAGACAGAACAACUCAAAGGCGAGGGACAAAGAGCUGUUUCUUGAAUUAAGAGGGAAAUGAUGAGUUGUUACUACUAUGCUUUGUGGUAUUGAUGGCUUCUGCUUCCUUCUUCUAAUUGCAGGCCUACAUAUUACAGGUUUGUUCGUUGUCGCUGAAACUCUUGACAAUGCAGGGCCAUGUUCCAUUUUAAUGAGGGAUGAUGUUAUCUUGUUUUCUCAUCAAAGGCGCAGGAUACAUUGGUGAAGAUGGUAUGAGUUGUAAAGUUGUUGCGAAUUGUUGUUCCAUCGCCCGCUUCUUCUGUGUCGAUGUAGGUAUGGUGUUCCUUAUAGUUUCUUGAAUUUUUUGUAUUGAAAUUGUUGAUCUUGUAUAUCAAAGUUGGUGAGGAUUCAUCUAAACAGCAUUCUUUUUGUCAAUGUAUAUGGGGUUUGUAUUUUUGCUUGUUUUGUUUUGAUUGCUCAUAAUUCAUCUCUAGAAUAGUGUUGUAUCCCGCUCGAUGCACGACAUGAAUAUCUUUAUA